RNAcentral lists this ribosomal RNA (455 nucleotides) under Streptococcus sp. oral taxon C56. RNAcentral describes it as "bacterial SSU rRNA". It matches the Rfam family "Bacterial small subunit ribosomal RNA", at positions 28 to 469 of the family's 1533-position model. The record is from RNAcentral. Lineage: Bacteria; Bacillati; Bacillota; Bacilli; Lactobacillales; Streptococcaceae.
GACGAACGCUGGCGGCGUGCCUAAUACAUGCAAGUAGAACGCUGAAGGAGGAGCUUGCUCUUCUGGAUGAGUUGCGAACGGGUGAGUAACGCGUAGGUAACCUGCCUGGUAGUGGGGGAUAACUAUUGGAAACGAUAGCUAAUACCGCAUAAUAACAGUUGUUGCAUGACAACUGUUUGAAAGGUGCAAUUGCAUCACUACCAGAUGGACCUGCGUUGUAUUAGCUAGUUGGUGGGGUAACGGCUCACCAAGGCGACGAUACAUAGCCGACCUGAGAGGGUGAUCGGCCACACUGGGACUGAGACACGGCCCAGACUCCUACGGGAGGCAGCAGUAGGGAAUCUUCGGCAAUGGACGAAAGUCUGACCGAGCAACGCCGCGUGAGUGAAGAAGGUUUUCGGAUCGUAAAGCUCUGUUGUAAGAGAAGAACGAGUGUGAGAGUGGAAAGUUCACAG